CCUACGGGAGGCUGCAGUGGGGAAUAUUGCACAAUGGGGGAAACCCUGAUGCAGCGACGCCGCGUGAAGGAAGAAGUAUUUCGGUAUGUAAACUUCUAUCAGCAGGGAAGAAAAUGACGGUACCUGACUAAGCAGCCCCGGCUAACUCCGUGCCAGCCGCCGCGGUAAUACGUAGGGGGAAAGCGUUAUCCGGAUUUACUGGGUGUAAAGGGAGCGUAGGCGGUUUAGCAAGUCAGAAGUGAAAGCCCGGGGCUCAACUCCGGGACUGCUUUUGAAACUGUUGAACUAGAGUGCAGGAGAGGUAAGUGGAAUUCCUAGUGUAGCGGUGAAAUGCGUAGAUAUUAGGAGGAACACCAGUGGCGAAGGCGGCUUACUGGACUGUAAAUGACGCUGAGGUUCGAAAGCGUGGGGAGCAAACAGGAUUAGAUACCCUGGUAGUC
RNAcentral lists this ribosomal RNA (440 nucleotides) under uncultured bacterium. RNAcentral describes it as "partial 16S ribosomal RNA". It matches the Rfam family "Bacterial small subunit ribosomal RNA", at positions 338 to 795 of the family's 1533-position model. The record is from RNAcentral.